GUAACGGCGAGUGAAGCGGCAACAGCUCAAAUUUGAAAUCUGGCCUUCGGGUCCGAGUUGUAAUUUGUAGAGGAUGCUUUUGGUGCGGUGCCUUCCGAGUUCCCUGGAACGGGACGCCAUAGAGGGUGAGAGCCCCGUCUGGUUGGAUACCAAUCCUCUGUAAAGCUCCUUCGACGAGUCGAGUAGUUUGGGAAUGCUGCUCUAAAUGGGAGGUAUAUGUCUUCUAAAGCUAAAUACCGGCCAGAGACCGAUAGCGCACAAGUAGAGUGAUCGAAAGAUGAAAAGCACUUUGAAAAGAGGGUUAAACAGUACGUGAAAUUGUUGAAAGGGAAGCGCUUGUGACCAGACUUGGGCAUGGUUAAUCAUCCAGCGUUCUCGCUGGUGCACUUGGCCUGCCCAGGCCAGCAUCAGUUCGGUGCGGGGGAUAAAGGCUUCGGGAAUGUGGCUCCUCCGGGAGUGUUAUAGCCCGUUGUGCAAUACCCUGCGCUGGACUGAGGUUCGCGCAUCUGCAUGGAUGCUGGCGUAAUGGUCAUCAGCGACCCGUCUUGAAACACGGACCAAGGAGUCGUCCUCGUAUGCGAGUGUUCGGGUGUUAAACCCCUACGCGUAAUGAAAGUGAACGCAGGUGAGAGCUUCGGCGCAUCAUCGACCGAUCCUGAUGUUCUCGGAUGGAUUUGAGUAAGAGCAUACGGGGCCGGACCCGAAAGAAGGUGAACUAUGCCUGUAUAGGGUGAAGCCAGAGGAAACUCUGGU
Molecule: ribosomal RNA, 753 nt
Filed under: Xenoacremonium recifei
Lineage: Eukaryota; Fungi; Ascomycota; Sordariomycetes; Hypocreales; Nectriaceae
Description: eukaryotic LSU rRNA
Rfam family: Eukaryotic large subunit ribosomal RNA
Source: RNAcentral